GCGAGCAAGGUGUUGCGUAUCCUUUUUGGAUCUGCAGUGUCGAAAUGAAGAUGUUAAGCUCGCCGCCUGGGAAGUAUAAUCGCAAGAUCGAAACUUAAAGGAAUUGGCGGGGGAGCACCACAAGGGGUGCGGCGUGCGGUUUAAUCUAAUUCAACGCAGAAAAUCUCACCAGAAGCGACGGCAGGAUGAAGGUCAGGUUAAAGGCCUUAACAGACAAGCCGAGAGGUAGUGCAUGGCCGUCGUCAGCUCGUGCCGUAAGGUGUCCUGUUAAGUCAGGCAACGAGCGAGACCUGUACCUACAAUUGCUAGCAACUUUUAGGAUUGAGCACAUUGUGGGGACUGCCUGGGAAACCAGGAGGAAGGCGCAGGCUACGAUAGGUCUGUAUGCUCCGAAUCUUCUGGGCUACACGCGCGCAACAAUGGUAAGGACAAUGGGAUACAACUCCGGAAGGAGAAGUUAAACCUCUAAACCUUAUCUUAGUUCAGAUUGAGGACUGUAAUUUGUCCUCAUGACGCUGGAAUCCCUAGUAAUCGGACGUCAACAUCGUCCGGUGAAUAUGUCCCUGCUCCUUGCACACACCGCCCGUCAAACCAUCCGAGCAGGGUUUAGGUGAGAAUCAGCUUCAAGCUAAUUCGAAUCUAAACUCAGUGAGGCGGGUUAAGUCGUCACAAGGUAGCCGUAGGGGAACCUGCGGCUGGAUCACCUCCU
Molecule: ribosomal RNA, 709 nt
Filed under: Candidatus Woesearchaeota archaeon
Lineage: Archaea; Nanobdellati; Candidatus Woesearchaeota
Description: bacterial SSU rRNA
Rfam family: Archaeal small subunit ribosomal RNA
Source: RNAcentral